UUAAUUUUUUUCUUUUUCUUUUUCUUUUGGCCACACAAUCCACUUUACAGAGGCCUUAACCUUACUUGCACUUUACUCCUCCCAUCUCAUUAUAUCAACAUGCAUCCUAGUGAUUUGAUUUCACCCAGAUAUUAUCCUUGGUAUAUCAAUCGAUAUGUGCUCAAAAUAAAUCUUCUUCAAAGGAUCAAUCUAGAGGAUGAAUGAAUGAGCUUCAAAUAUGAAUAUAAUUGAUGUAUAUUGAUUCUUUUCUCAUCAGCAGCAGUAGCAGCUUGUAGCUUGUUUGGAAUUGUCUGCCUCUUCUUUUCUGUUUUCUAGUAAGGGCUACUGUUGUAUCCAAAUAUAUGUUGAGA
Non-coding RNA from Durio zibethinus, 350 nucleotides. Lineage: Eukaryota; Viridiplantae; Streptophyta; Magnoliopsida; Malvales; Malvaceae. The record is from RefSeq and is a predicted model, not a curated record.